UGGUUAACGAGCUGCGAUGGUUCCCGGAACGCCGAGUGCACUCCGGGAUGAAAUGGGAACACGGUGAGGUAUCGCCCGAAAGGCGCCAAGUCCGUGACUGCCCCCGCAACUGUGAGCGGAGAGCGAUCCCGAGAACACCACUGGGCCAUGAACCGGCCCGGGAAGGUUCGGGAAAGCCGUGACCCGCAAGUCAGGAGACCUGCCAUCUCCGGCGCGUUUCG
This 221-nucleotide non-coding RNA is filed under the name Salipiger mucosus. The record is from RNAcentral. Lineage: Bacteria; Pseudomonadati; Pseudomonadota; Alphaproteobacteria; Rhodobacterales; Roseobacteraceae. RNAcentral also lists the same sequence under 1 other name.